RNAcentral lists this ribosomal RNA (433 nucleotides) under uncultured bacterium. Its description in RNAcentral is "partial 16S ribosomal RNA". It matches the Rfam family "Bacterial small subunit ribosomal RNA", at positions 29 to 507 of the family's 1533-position model. The record is from RNAcentral.
AACGAACGCUGGCGGCAGGCCUAACACAUGUAAGUCGAGCGAGGACUUCGGUUCUAGCGGCGGACGGGUGAGUAACGCGUGGGAAUGUGCCCUUCUCUACGGAAUAGCCCUGGGAAACUGGGAGUAAUACCGUAUACGCCCUAUUGGGGAAAGAUUUAUCGGAGAAGGAUCAGCCCGCGUUGGAUUAGGUAGUUGGUGGGGUAAUGGCCUACCAAGCCGACGAUCCAUAGCUGGUUUGAGAGGAUGAUCAGCCACACUGGGACUGAGACACGGCCCAGACUCCUACGGGAGGCAGCAGUGGGGAAUCUUAGACAAUGGGGGCAACCCUGAUCUAGCCAUGCCGCGUGAGUGAUGAAGGCCUUAGGGUUGUAAAGCUCUUUCAGCCGGGAAGAUAAUGACGGUACCAGCAGAAGAAGCCCCGGCUAACUCCGUG